AGCGGGGUAGGGCAGCCUGGAGUGCCCGCCGGGCUCAUAACCCGGAGGUCGGUGGUUCAAAUCCACCCCCCGCUA
Molecule: transfer RNA, 75 nt
Filed under: Nanopusillaceae archaeon
Lineage: Archaea; Nanobdellati; Nanobdellota; Candidatus Nanoarchaeia; Nanoarchaeales; Nanopusillaceae
Also listed under: 1 other name
Description: tRNA-Met
Rfam family: tRNA
About the family: Transfer RNA (tRNA) molecules are approximately 80 nucleotides in length.
Source: RNAcentral